UCUCUGGUGGCUUAGAUGGUAAAGAAUCUGCCUUGCAAUGCAGGAGACCCAGGUUCAAUCCCUGGGUUGGGAA
This 73-nucleotide transfer RNA is filed under the name Bos taurus (domestic cattle). It matches the Rfam family "tRNA". From Rfam's summary of the family: Transfer RNA (tRNA) molecules are approximately 80 nucleotides in length. Their secondary structure includes four short double-helical elements and three loops (D, anti-codon, and T loops). RNAcentral also lists the same sequence under 4 other names. The record is from Rfam by way of RNAcentral. Lineage: Eukaryota; Metazoa; Chordata; Mammalia; Artiodactyla; Bovidae.